RNAcentral lists this ribosomal RNA (1958 nucleotides) under human gut metagenome. Its description in RNAcentral is "bacterial LSU rRNA". It matches the Rfam family "Bacterial large subunit ribosomal RNA", at positions 1 to 1990 of the family's 2925-position model. The record is from RNAcentral.
UUAAAUGAAUAAGGGCGUAUGGUGGAUGCCUAGGCAUGUAGAGCAGAAGAAGGACGCAGCUAACGGCGAAACGCGACGGGGAGUGGUAAGCACACAUCGAUCCGUCGGUCUCCGAAUGGGGAAACCCAGCGCGAGUAAUGUCGCGUUACCCAUGAGUGAAAAGAUAGCUCAUGAGGAGAGAACCCAGGGAAUUGAAACAUCUUAGUACCUGGAGGAAAAGAAAAUAAGAAUGAUUCCCUCAGUAGCGGCGAGCGAACGGGGAAGAGCCCAAACCAGCCUUAGGGCUGGGGUAGUAGGACCACAAGGUGGUACGUUGACCGAUAGAAGAAGGACAUUGAAAGGUCCGCCAAAGAGGGUGCAAGCCCCGUAAUCGAAAUUGGGAGCUGACCUAGUGGAAUCCUGAGUACGGCGAGGCACGUGGAACCUUGUCGGAAGCAUCCGGGACCAUCCGGAAAGGCUAAAUACUCCUACAUGACCGAUAGUGAACCAGUACCGUGAGGGAAAGGUGAAAAGAACCGCGGGAGCGGAGUGAAAUAGAACCUGAAACCAUAUGCUUACAAGAAGACAGAGCCCGUUAAGGGGUGAUGUCGUGCCUUUUGUAGAAUGAACCGGCGAGUUAUCUUAUCGUGCGAGGUUAAGUGGAAGACACGGAGCCGAAGCGAAAGCGAGUCUGAAUAGGGCGAGAGUACGAUGAGAUAGACCCGAAGCCGUAGUGAUCUAGCCAUGACCAGGUUGAAGUUUGGGUGAAACCAAAUGGAGGACCGAACCGACCCCCGUUGAAAAGUUGGCGGAUGAGUUGUGGCUAGCGGAGAAAUUCCAAUCGAACACGGCGAUAGCUGGUUCUCCCCGAAAUAGCUUUAGGGCUAGCGUCGAAGUAAGGGUAGUGGAGGUAGAGCACUGAAUUCAUGAUGGCGCCGUCAAGGUGUACUGAAUGAAAUCAAACUCCGAAUGCCAUUAUUGAAUCUUCGGCAGUCAGACUGUGGGUGAUAAGGUCCAUGGUCAAAAGGGAAACAGCCCAGAUCAUCAGUUAAGGUCCCAAAAUUACCGCUAAGUGGAAAAGGAUGUGGGGAUGCACAGACAACUAGGAGGUUGGCUUAGAAGCAGCCACCCUUCAAAGAGUGCGUAACAGCUCACUAGUCGAGUGACCCUGCGCCGAAAAUUAACCGGGGCUAAGCGGUAUACCGAAACUAUGGCAAUGACUACGGUCAUUGGGUAGGGGAGCGUUCCAUGGGCAUGGAAGCCGUACCGUAAGGAGCGGUGGAGCGCAUGGAAGUGAGAAUGCCGGUGUGAGUAGCGAGAUGCAGGUGAGAAUCCUGCACACCGAUAGACCAAGGAUUCCAGGGGAAGGUUCGUCCGCCCUGGGUAAGUCGGGACCUAAGGCGAGGCUGAAAAGCGUAGUCGAUGGAAAACAGGUUGAUAUUCCUGUACCCGCGCAUCGAGUGAUGGAGUGACAAAGAAGGCUAACCGGACCGGUAAAUGGAUUCCGGACCAAGCGAGGUAGGAGGCAGUCAGGCAAAUCCGGCUGUCAAUCUGAAGGCGUGAUGAGGAGCGAACGGGCGACCCAGUAGCGAAGACGGCGAUGCCAGCUUUCAAGAAAAGCUUCUAGCGCAAAUCAAUGAGCGGCCCGUACCAAAACCGACACAGGUGGUCAAGGCGAGAAGCCUAAGGUGAGCGAGAGAACUGUUGCCAAGGAACUCGGCAAAAUAGCCCCGUACGUUCGCAAGAAGGGGCGCUCGAAAGAGCCGCAGUGAAGAGGCCCAAGCAACUGUUUAACUAAAACACAGCUCUCUGCAAAGUCGCAAGACGAAGUAUAGGGGGUGACGCCUGCCCGGUGCUGGAAGGUUAAGAGGAUGUGUUAGUCGUAAGACGAAGCAUUGAAUUGAAGCCCCAGUGAACGGCGGCCGUAACUAUAACGGUCCUAAGGUAGCGAAAUUCCUUGUCAGGUAAGUUCUGACCCG